AAGGGUGAAAUUGGAUUAUUUUUAUUUUAAUUGUAGUUGGAAUUGAAGUUAAGAAUUUUUAGGCUUAAACUAGGAUUAGAUACCCUAUUAUACUAAAAAGGUGAAUAAAAUGAGCCGGAUUAUUAAAAGAUAUGUUCUCUAAAUUUGAAGAAUUUGGCGGUGAUUUAGUCUUGUCAGAGGAACCUGUUUUUGAAUCGAUACACCACGUAGGAUCUUACUCAAGCUUAUAUACCAUCAUUAACGGAUAAUUUUUAAAGAAAUAAUUAUUGUAAUUUAUAAGUUUAAAUAAAAUUAGAUCAAGGUGUAGCUUAUGAGUGAGUUAAAAUGGGUUACAAUAAAAUUUAUUUAUAACGUAAGGAUCGAGGAAUCUAAAGGAGGAUUUGAUUGUAUUUGAGUUUAAUACGCUUAAGAGAUAUAAGCUCUAAAUCAUGUACAUAUCGCCCGUCGCUUUC
This 452-nucleotide ribosomal RNA is filed under the name Ozius rugulosus. Its description in RNAcentral is "partial 12S small subunit ribosomal RNA". The record is from RNAcentral. Lineage: Eukaryota; Metazoa; Arthropoda; Malacostraca; Decapoda; Oziidae.